AGCAUUCGCUACUGUAAGUCGCUCUGGAUAAGAGUGUCUGCUAAAUGACUAAAA
This is a non-coding RNA of Salmo salar (Atlantic salmon), 54 nucleotides long. NCBI's taxonomy places the organism in Eukaryota, Metazoa, Chordata, Actinopteri, Salmoniformes, Salmonidae. The record is from Rfam.